UACGUAGGGUGCAAGCGUUAAUCGGAAUUACUGGGCGUAAAGCGUGCGCAGGCGGUUUUGUAAGUCUGUCGUGAAAGCCCCGGGCUCAACCUGGGAAUUGCGAUGGAGACUGCAAGGCUAGAAUCUGGCAGAGGGGGGUAGAAUUCCACGUGUAGCAGUGAAAUGCGUAGAGAUGUGGAGGAACACCGAUGGCGAAGGCAAUCCCCUGGACCUGUACUGACGCUCAUGCACGAAAGCGUGGGGAGCAAACAGG
Molecule: ribosomal RNA, 253 nt
Filed under: uncultured bacterium
Lineage: Bacteria
Description: partial 16S ribosomal RNA
Rfam family: Bacterial small subunit ribosomal RNA
Source: RNAcentral